Molecule: long non-coding RNA, 390 nt
Organism: Panthera uncia (snow leopard)
Lineage: Eukaryota; Metazoa; Chordata; Mammalia; Carnivora; Felidae
Exons: 2
Source: RefSeq, a predicted model, not a curated record
CAAGUAGAGGCUUACUAAACACACCCAAGAGUGAUGAUGAGAGUCACUGCCAGUUCCCUUCAAGGGAAAUGUGUUGGGGUGGGAUAGCCACGGUCACCGUGACAAUAGAGAUGUAUGGCGAGUCUCAGCAUACAGCUCAAGUCCCUGGGAGACCACGGGGGAAGAGGAGAAGGGUCUGCACUGAAGGCCAAUUGGAGGAAAUGGCAAGGGGGUUCACCUCUUCACUGUCUGUUCCAGUACUUCUUACUUCAUUGAUGUUACCAGUGAACAAUGGAGCUGCCACUCACAGCCAUCCCGCUGACAUCACUCAGCUUCCCUGAGGAGAAGAGGUGCUAUUGAUAAAUGAUGUGGGGACCACUGGGUAGCCAUGUGGAAAAAAAACACCCAAAA